RNAcentral lists this ribosomal RNA (400 nucleotides) under uncultured bacterium. RNAcentral's name for it is "bacterial SSU rRNA". It matches the Rfam family "Bacterial small subunit ribosomal RNA", at positions 975 to 1374 of the family's 1533-position model. The record is from RNAcentral.
CUGGGCUUGACAUGGUAGAAGUAGGAACCUGAAAGGGAGACGAACCGUUAAGUCGGUAGCUAUCACAGGUGCUGCAUGGCUGUCGUCAGCUCGUGUCGUGAGAUGUUGGGUUAAGUCCCGUAACGAGCGCAACCCUCAUCCUCUGUUACUCCGUAAGGAGUUCUCUGAGGAAACUGCCUUUGAUAAAAAGGAGGAAGGUGGGGAUGACGUCAAGUCCUCAUGGCCUUUAUGCCCAGGGCUACACACGUGCUACAAUGGUCACUACAAAGGGUUGCCAAACCGCAAGGUGGAGCCAAUCCCAUAAAAGUGGCCUCAGUUCAGAUUGAGGGCUGCAACUCGCCCUCAUGAAGUUGGAAUCGCUAGUAAUCGUAGAUCAGCUACGCUACGGUGAAUACGUUCC